CAGCGGUGGCAGCUGCUCCUUCGGAAUGUUCGGUCUGUUUUCCCUACGGAUGCGCUGCUACGUUUCAAAAUUAAAUUUGUAACAGUUCAAGGAUGUACAACAUUCAAAUUUUGUCGCGCAAACAUAACCAACACACUGGAGGGUACGAACGUACACAACAACUACUACAAUUGGUUACAUACAAAUUACAACAUUAACAUACACAUCAUACACCCAUCAUUUACAUCAAAGAGAUUCCCACCGCAAUCCAAUCUCGA
Molecule: long non-coding RNA, 257 nt
Filed under: Setaria viridis
Lineage: Eukaryota; Viridiplantae; Streptophyta; Magnoliopsida; Poales; Poaceae
Description: long non-coding RNA (SVIR_LNC003083)
Source: RNAcentral